This 84-nucleotide transfer RNA is filed under the name Echinostoma caproni. It matches the Rfam family "tRNA". Rfam says of the family: Transfer RNA (tRNA) molecules are approximately 80 nucleotides in length. Their secondary structure includes four short double-helical elements and three loops (D, anti-codon, and T loops). Further hydrogen bonds mediate the characteristic L-shaped molecular structure. tRNAs have two regions of fundamental functional importance: the anti-codon, which is responsible for specific mRNA codon recognition, and the 3' end, to which the tRNAs corresponding amino acid is attached (by aminoacyl-tRNA synthetases). tRNAs cope with the degeneracy of the genetic code in two manners: having more than one tRNA (with a specific anti-codon) for a particular amino acid; and 'wobble' base-pairing, i.e. permitting non-standard base-pairing at the 3rd anti-codon position. Lineage: Eukaryota; Metazoa; Platyhelminthes; Trematoda; Plagiorchiida; Echinostomatidae. The record is from Rfam by way of RNAcentral.
AUAUUCGUAGCUCAGCUGGUAGGGCGUGCGCGGUACAAAAGCGUAGGCGGCGUCUGUGCGUGGGUUCGAAUCCCACCGAGGCUA